UCGAACCUGAUCAAAACAGAAGCCCAGUGAAUGGUGACCUGAGCUGAGGCAACUCACGUGUUUACUUCAUUCUCCAUUAGAAAUGCAGAAUCCUGGUUAAUGCAACUUUAACUCUGCACAGUUCAAAUCAAGCAUUGUCAGGAGAUUCAGGAGUGACAGUUCUUAAGGCCCUUUGAUGUGCCCACGUUGUGGGCAAUAAGAAAUAUAAGAAUGGCCAUACUAGUCAGAUUAAUGGUCCAUCUUGCUCAGCAUGCUGUCUUCCAACAGUGGCCAAUGCCAGGUGCUUCAGAGGGAACGAGCAAAACAGACAAUCACCAAGUGAUCCAUCCUCUGUUGUCCACUCCCAAGAGACCAGACCUGACUCCUGCAACCCAUGCAAUCCCUGGAGUUGCUCAGAUGUAACUGGGAAGAAUUUUUUGUAAGGUUUACACAUGGCCACCUGAUGGAGCAGUCAGAAAUGCCCCAGGUAGCCAAUGAAGGGAGUUAAUAUUGCUAUCGCUAAAAAGCCUCCACAAAUUAUUGAUUGCACAGGCCGGGCUGACAGGAGGGGGGAAAAGGGAGCACGAUUGUUUUGAAAACCCGAGCUUGGGGGGCCUCCAAAACAUUUGUAACAUCUGUGUAAAAAUAAAGUGAAAUGGGAGAGGGUGUGACCCCAGUAAACAUGAUGUGUCAGGGCCUGAGUGCAUGUGCAAAAACCCAAAAGCACACCUUUUUAAUCUCUUAUGCUGCCAUUUAAUUCCCCGUCCCCAAUUUAUCAAGGGCCCGAUUCUGCCACCUCCAUUCACACUGCACAGUCCACACAGGCUGAGCUGCCCCCUUAAUUUACCGAUUAUCCAUAUUUACCUGGGGCUAGACCUGCCUUAUAGCUGUGAGUAGGGGUGCUACGGAGCUGGCCCAGUGGGAGCACAAGGAGGCAUUGUGCUCAGGGAAGCAGUGCCUCCUGAACUUCCCACCAAGCAGGGAAAGAACACCCAUUGUGCCACUCCUUGGGAGGGUAUGAUCCCUUCCAUGGCUAGCCAGCUUCAUGGACUGGUGCAGGGGGAUAAGAGUGAAACUAUUGGGCUGCCUCCUCCCUCCCCCUUGUGGGGUGGCUUGAGCCCCAGACGGAGCUGGCAGGGAGCAGCCCCUGUGCUCAAUAGAGCUCAGAGACUGUAGCUGUGGCUGGCCCAAGAGGAGAGAGCACUGGGGUGAAGGAGCAUAGUGACCAUGGACCAGAACUGAGGUCAGUACUUGGCUACUGGAGUUAGCUUCACCACCAUGGCUGCCACCCCCACUGUUUCCUGGGCUCUGGAGCCUUUGUCGGCCUGAUCCUGAGCGAUGUCCUGCCCAGACGGGCCAGAGAGAGGGACCCAGACAACGUCGCCACCCUACUGGCUCCAGCUGAAUCCCAGCCACACCCGGGGUGACACAGGAUCAGACUGUAACAACAACAGCUCUAGCCCAUUGCAGCCCCCACCAUAGCAAGACGCCAUGUCUGAAGAUGAAUGGCAGAUGUGAUGGCACCAGCAGAAGGAAUGCUGGGAUGUGUCAGCUGAUCCACACUGAGCACCGGGCACGGGCAGCAUGUCUGGACUGACUGCUUGGAAAGCAAGUGAGUAAACAGCCAAAGAGGACCACACUCCUGACAUGAGAGAUGGUAACAGGAAAGUUACAUCCACAAACGUAGCGCAUGGGAUUUCCUAAAGCUCCCACCUCACUCAGGAGCACGGACAGUCAACCUCAAAUUAAUCACUUCCAAAAAUCUCAUGUUUUUUUAAACCAGUCCUGUUAUUUUGGGGGUGGGACUCAUGAUUUUUGAACACUUGGCAUUGGCAACACUGUCAUCCCAGGCCCAAGGGGCCGAACUUGGAAGCCUUAGGGUUCAGGCAACUACGUCCAUAUUUGGGCACCCAGCUACACAGCAUGACUUUCGAAAGUGCCGAGCUGCUCCCAGCUCUGUUGCUUCGCCCUGCCGAGAAGUAGGCUGAAUACCUGGCAACCCUCCUGUCUGCAAAAAUACAGCGGAAAGGAAACUUGCUAGACCCUACUCUUAUGCUUGUUGUAGCUAGUGCAUAAGAAAGGUAGCUCCUACAGAACCGAUAAACAUGCCUUUACUGGUUGCACCAGGAACCCAGUUCUCAGCAGGGACCAAUUCCUGACACACGUGACCUGAGCUCAUCCCUUUUAAAGGGACCAUGGCUGACAGUGCAGAAGGUCCGGUUCAGUGGUCAAAGCACAUAGCCAGGAAUCGGAGCCAGGGUCAGAGCCAACACUGGAAGUCAGGAGUCAAAGCCGAGGCUCAGGCUGGAGUGAGGCGAGGCAGGGCUAAGGUUGAGGCAGAAGCAAGGCCAGGAACAAGCAAGCUCAGGUGCUCUCACAGCCAUGAGUAAAUGCUUUGAGCAGCCACUGAAUGGCUGCUGCUCCUGGGCAUAAGAGCCAGUCUGCUGACUCAUCCAACCAAUCAGGCAGACUCCGACCGGCCAAAUGCGCUCAUUAGGUUGCUCAGAGACUGGCUCUGCUACAGGCCCUGAUUCCAGGUCCCGAGUUGUGAAAUGCGACAGUUGAGUGCAAAAGUGAGUCCCAGCCUACAGUAGCAGCCUCCAUAGGUGACCACUGUGCUGUCUCACUGGUCCUCGUCUGCAUGUGCUGUACGAUGCAGUGGUUAAAGAUGUAAUGAGCAAAUUAUUAAAAAGAAAGAAACAAAACCCAGUAAUUCUCUGUGCAACACACA
Molecule: long non-coding RNA, 2710 nt
Organism: Chelonia mydas (Green sea turtle)
Lineage: Eukaryota; Metazoa; Chordata; Testudines; Cheloniidae
Exons: 3
Source: RefSeq, a predicted model, not a curated record